UACGUAGGGGGCAAGCGUUAUCCGGAAUCACUGGGCGUAAAGGGAGCGUAGGCGGUUUGACAAGCCAGAGGUGAAAGGCAAUAGCUUAACUAUUGUAAGCCUUUGGAACUGUCGAACUUGAGUGCAGGAGAGGAAAGUGGAAUUCCUAGUGUAGCGGUGAAAUGCGUAGAUAUUAGGAGGAACACCAGUGGCGAAGGCGACUUUCUGGACUGUAACUGACGCUGAGGCUCGAAAGCGUGGGGAGCGAACAGGAUUAGAUACCCUGGUAGUCCACGCUGUAAACGAUGAAUACUAGGUGUCUGGUGUCAAAGCUAGGUGCCGCAGCUAACGCAUUAAGUAUUCCGCCUGGGGAGUACGCACGCAAGUGUGAA
RNAcentral lists this ribosomal RNA (371 nucleotides) under uncultured bacterium. RNAcentral's name for it is "bacterial SSU rRNA". It matches the Rfam family "Bacterial small subunit ribosomal RNA", at positions 524 to 898 of the family's 1533-position model. The record is from RNAcentral.